This 24-nucleotide non-coding RNA is filed under the name Cricetulus griseus (Chinese hamster). Lineage: Eukaryota; Metazoa; Chordata; Mammalia; Rodentia; Cricetidae. The record is from RNAcentral.
CAGACUGGAAAGGCGGACGGCAGU